ACGUAGGGGGCAAGCGUUGUCCGGAUUUACUGGGCGUAAAGAGCGCGUAGGCGGAAGCUUAAGUGUGGCCUGAAAGCCCCCGGCUCAACCGGGGAAGGUGGCUGCAAACUGGGCUUCUUGAGGGGGAUAGGGGAAAGUGGAAUUCCGGGUGUAGCGGUGAAAUGCGUAGAGAUCCGGAGGAACACCAGUGGCGAAGGCGGCUUUCUGGGUCCGCCCUGACGCUGAGGCGCGAAAGCGUGGGGAGCGAACGGGA
This 253-nucleotide ribosomal RNA is filed under the name uncultured prokaryote. Its description in RNAcentral is "partial 16S ribosomal RNA". It matches the Rfam family "Bacterial small subunit ribosomal RNA", at positions 525 to 777 of the family's 1533-position model. The record is from RNAcentral.